CCUACGGGAGGCUGCAGUGGGGAAUAUUGCACAAUGGGGGAAACCCUGAUGCAGCGACGCCGCGUGAGUGAAGAAGCGUUUCGGCGCGUAAAGCUCUGUCAGCGGGGAAGAAACACGGUUCGCGAGAGCCGCGGACGGUACCCGACCAAGAAGCCCCGGCUAACUACGUGCCAGCAGCCGCGGUAAUACGUAGGGGGCAAGCGUUAUCCGGAUUCACUGGGUGUAAAGGGAGCGUAGACGGCGAGACAAGUCAGCGGUAAAAUCGCGGGGCUCAACCUCGCUCCGCCGUUGAAACUGGCGUUCUUGAGUGGGCGAGAAGUAUGCGGAAUGCGUGGUGUAGCGGUGAAAUGCAUAGAUAUCACGCAGAACUCCGAUUGCGAAGGCAGCAUACCGGCGCCCAACUGACGCUGAAGCACGAAAGCGUGGGUAUCGAACAGGAUUAGAUACCCGAGUAGUC
RNAcentral lists this ribosomal RNA (457 nucleotides) under uncultured bacterium. RNAcentral describes it as "partial 16S ribosomal RNA". It matches the Rfam family "Bacterial small subunit ribosomal RNA", at positions 338 to 795 of the family's 1533-position model. The record is from RNAcentral.